UCCAAAAGUAAAUUGACUCGCAGUAAUUUUUUUUUAAAAAAGAACACCUCUCCUAAGUCUGUUAAAGAGUUCACAAAAUGCAAGGACCUGCAGUUCCAUGUGUUUCAUGAUGAAAAAUGACUCUCUCAAACUCCAGAUUCUAUACUGAUGCAACAAUUACAGGCUUCAGCCAAGAAUGGGGAAGAUACGCGUGAUGUGCUCCAGUGGAACACUAUCAGCAGUAUUUUUCUUAAGCUCUGGAUGGUUGAAUUCAGUGGGAGGAAGGGUGAUGAGUUGGCCCUUACCCUGGCCUUUUUCAACAACCCAACCGUUGUUCGAUACUUGGUGCUCAAGGAACUUAUCCAAUGAAACACCCUCAAUGUUGAUAGCCUCCGCAAGAAUGGUCCUUGGAACCUUCUGGUAGGUUAUUGAAAGGACAUGAACAGCAUAUGCUCGAAUUGCUUGUUCAAAACCAGAAACAGCUUCCACAAUGUGGCGGCUCUUUGCAGCUUCAUCCCAAAAUUGGCGGAACCUUGCAGUCUCUAAGAAGUGUGACAGAACAUUUAGUGUCUUGAAUUGCUCUUCAAUUUGCACUCGUUCGGGGAUUAGGAAGAGACACAGGCUGUAAUCUGGAGCUGGCAUUGCCAUUAAGGCCUUAACCAAAAUACGAGCAACAAUUGGUGUACUCAUUCUGUCCGGCUCAAACUGAUAAAGACGGAGCAGGCAAAGGUUUGCAUCCAGAUUGUAUGUUUGAGACAAAACCUGUUCGUUGACAUAGUUUUCAAGAUCAGGGAGGAUAUCUGGAUUGUAAGGGUUAACGGCAAUGAGCUGUUCUACAGUGAUAGCCAACUGUGACUUCUCGGAACCACCAUUAGUCGCCUCUUGAACCAUUUUGUAAACUGUAUCUGACUGCUUUCGAACAAAUUGGAAGGUGAAGAGAGGAGCCAAAAGGGGUUGCACUUGCAGUACAGCUGAACGGAGGUUUUAGGGUUAAGAGGGCGAGAGUAAG
This 988-nucleotide unclassified non-coding RNA is filed under the name Hevea brasiliensis (rubber tree). The record is from RNAcentral. Lineage: Eukaryota; Viridiplantae; Streptophyta; Magnoliopsida; Malpighiales; Euphorbiaceae.